GUCUGUGGCCACACCACUCUGGACGCGACUGAUCCCAUCUGAUCUCGGAAGCUGAGCAGAGUCAAGCCUGGUUAGGACUUAGGUGGGAGCCGAUAGGAUAGAGGAGUGAGGAGGGGACUGAUU
RNAcentral lists this ribosomal RNA (123 nucleotides) under Carlito syrichta (Philippine tarsier). Lineage: Eukaryota; Metazoa; Chordata; Mammalia; Primates; Tarsiidae. The record is from RNAcentral.